RNAcentral lists this ribosomal RNA (898 nucleotides) under Oceanobacillus sp. RNAcentral describes it as "bacterial SSU rRNA". It matches the Rfam family "Bacterial small subunit ribosomal RNA", at positions 68 to 946 of the family's 1533-position model. The record is from RNAcentral. Lineage: Bacteria; Bacillati; Bacillota; Bacilli; Caryophanales; Bacillaceae.
GAUCCCCUUCGGGGGUGACGCUUGUGGAAUGAGCGGCGGACGGGUGAGUAACACGUGGGCAACCUGCCUGUAAGACUGGGAUAACCCCGGGAAACCGGGGCUAAUACCGGAUAAUACUUUCUUUUGCAUAAAGGAAAGUUGAAAGGCGGCUUCGGCUGUCACUUACAGAUGGGCCCGCGGCGCAUUAGCUAGUUGGUGAGGUAACGGCUCACCAAGGCGACGAUGCGUAGCCGACCUGAGAGGGUGAUCGGCCACACUGGGACUGAGACACGGCCCAGACUCCUACGGGAGGCAGCAGUAGGGAAUCUUCCGCAAUGGACGAAAGUCUGACGGAGCAACGCCGCGUGAGUGAUGAAGGUUUUCGGAUCGUAAAACUCUGUUGUUAGGGAAGAACAAGUUGGGUAGUAACUGACCCAACCUUGACGGUACCUAACCAGAAAGCCACGGCUAACUACGUGCCAGCAGCCGCGGUAAUACGUAGGUGGCAAGCGUUGUCCGGAAUUAUUGGGCGUAAAGCGCUCGCAGGCGGUCCUUUAAGUCUGAUGUGAAAUCUCGCGGCUCAACCGCGAACGGUCAUUGGAAACUGGAGGACUUGAGUACAGAAGAGGAGAGUGGAAUUCCACGUGUAGCGGUGAAAUGCGUAGAGAUGUGGAGGAACACCAGUGGCGAAGGCGACUCUCUGGUCUGUAACUGACGCUGAGGAGCGAAAGCGUGGGGAGCGAACAGGAUUAGAUACCCUGGUAGUCCACGCCGUAAACGAUGAGUGCUAGGUGUUAGGGGGUUUCCGCCCCUUAGUGCUGAAGUUAACGCAUUAAGCACUCCGCCUGGGGAGUACGGCCGCAAGGCUGAAACUCAAAAGAAUUGACGGGGGCCCGCACAAGCGGUGGAGCAUGUGGUU